GGCUCAGGAUGAACGCUGGCGGCGUGCCUAAUACAUGCAAGUCGAGCGAACAGAUAAGGAGCUUGCUCCUUUGACGUUAGCGGCGGACGGGUGAGUAACACGUGGGUAACCUACCUAUAAGACUGGAAUAACUCCGGGAAACCGGGGCUAAUGCCGGAUAACAUGUUGAACCGCAUGGUUCUACAGUGAAAGACGGUCUUGCUGUCACUUAUAGAUGGACCCGCGCCGUAUUAGCUAGUUGGUGGGGUAACGGCCUACCAAGGCGACGAUACGUAGCCGACCUGAGAGGGUGAUCGGCCACACUGGAACUGAGACACGGUCCAGACUCCUACGGGAGGCAGCAGUAGGGAAUCUUCCGCAAUGGGCGAAAGCCUGACGGAGCAACGCCGCGUGAGUGAUGAAGGUCUUCGGAUCGUAAAGCUCUGUUGUUAGGGAAGAACAAAUGUGUAAGUAAC
Molecule: ribosomal RNA, 455 nt
Filed under: uncultured Staphylococcus sp.
Lineage: Bacteria; Bacillati; Bacillota; Bacilli; Caryophanales; Staphylococcaceae
Description: bacterial SSU rRNA
Rfam family: Bacterial small subunit ribosomal RNA
Source: RNAcentral